This 709-nucleotide ribosomal RNA is filed under the name Rotylenchulus reniformis. RNAcentral describes it as "partial large subunit ribosomal RNA". It matches the Rfam family "Eukaryotic large subunit ribosomal RNA", at positions 367 to 910 of the family's 3401-position model. Lineage: Eukaryota; Metazoa; Nematoda; Chromadorea; Rhabditida; Hoplolaimidae. The record is from RNAcentral.
CAAAACACCUUGAAGAGAGAGUUAAACAGGACGUGAAACCGAUGAGGUGGAAACGGACAGAGUCGGCGUAUCUAGCCUGUAUUCAACUGGAGACCCAAGCACAUUGGGUAGGCCUUUUCCAGAUUGGACAGGYGAUCCAACUGUUUGGGRGUCUACAGUGCAUUUGCAAGUGGAGUGCGCUGAGGUGGUCGGGUUAGCUGCKUGAUCUCGGGUUUGAGGCCAGCCCCUCGGGGUAUGGUACCCGGCUCGGGGGAGUGCUGUUUAGCCUGUUCAACUUGUAUGGAAAUGGUAUCGGGUCCGGCUGGUAUCCAGCUAACAACUGGUGGCGGUCGCAUGCGACACGUACUAGUGGUUGGUUGGGUCCUGGUCUGGCUCCCAUGUUUUCCAAUCCUCGGUGUAAAAACCGGUCAUCUGUCCGACCCGUCUUGAAACACGGACCAAGGAGUUUAGCGUGUGCGCGAGUCAUUGGGUGUUGGAAACCCAAAGGCGCAAUGAAAGUGAAGGUCUCUCUUGUGGAGCUGAUGUGUGACCCGGGUCACCGAGGUGGCCCGGAGCAACAUGGUCCCGUCCUGAUCGCUUGCGAUGGGGCGGAGACAGAGCGUACGCGCUGAGACCCGAAAGAUGGUGAACUAUUCCUGAGCAGGACGAAGCCAGAGGAAACUCUGGUGGAAGUCCGAAGCGAUUCUGACGUGCAAAUCGAUCGUCUGAC